Molecule: long non-coding RNA, 1070 nt
Filed under: Arachis ipaensis
Lineage: Eukaryota; Viridiplantae; Streptophyta; Magnoliopsida; Fabales; Fabaceae
Description: long non-coding RNA (AIPA_LNC000196)
Source: RNAcentral
CAAGAUUUGCAUCAACAACGCUAGUCACUACUUCAUGCCCACAACACGGUAACUUAAUUUCAUUUCAAGAUUUAGUACUAGUCACCAAAAUACUAACAAACCAUAUACGCAAUAUGUAAUGCAGCUUCAUGGAGUGGAUGAUAACAUCGAUAAAAGCAAGAAGAUUUUGACAGCCAUCUCAAGAAGGAUGAGUAGGAAUAAAUGGAUUCUUGGCUCCUUCAUGGCAGCCAUAGUCCUUGCAAUUAUACUUAUAACUUUUGACUAAUGAUAAACGCUAUCCAAUAAUCACAAAGUUAACACUUGACACGGCAAUUUCAAUAGCUAUAGCAAUAAUCCAAAACCCAAUGUUUUGUAAUUCUAGAAUAGAACAAACUAAAAGGGGUUUCAAUUUCAAACGAUCCACAUAAUGAAGAAGCAAUAACAGCAAAAAGGUGGGGGACUCACGCAAAAGGAGAAGGCUCAACAAAGAGAGCAAUUCGACGAGGCCUUGAAUUGUUCUCAGUGACCCUCUUCUCCUUCCUCCUCACGCAAUUCUCGUAGAGGACCAAACCUCUGACAUUAACAUCACACCAUAGUCUUAGAUCUUAAAAUAAAAUAGAACCAGAAUAAACAUGACCAUGAUUUCUAAAUUUAGAAAAUAGGAGAUUACGAUUAGGUCAUAGUUUCCACCUGAAAUAGGAAAUUUCCAAAUGAAACUGAAGUUGGCUCUAAAAAGAGUUCAGUAACAGUCAGAAAAAGAUACCUGGUUAUUGUAAGCUUGAUUGAGAGAGCAGAAAAGGACCAAAAUAGGAGGAGCGACGGCGGCAACAGAGAGAAGGAGCGAUGACAGCAGCGGAGCGACGGCGGCGCGAGCAAACAUAGUAACGGCAGCAACAGAGCGCAACGGCGGUGCGAGCAAACGGAGUGACGGCGGCGCAACCGUGACACCGACAGUGGAGAAUGAGGGUUGGUGAAUUUGGGGUAAAAUGAGGGUUUAUGAGAAAAUGAGGAAUUUGGGGUAAAAUUGUGUUUCUGAACUUAGAGGUGGGAAGUGGACACGGGGUUGUGUUUUUAAUUAGCAAUAAAAAUUG